RNAcentral lists this long non-coding RNA (291 nucleotides) under Glycine max (soybean). RNAcentral's name for it is "long non-coding RNA (GMAX_LNC004162)". The record is from RNAcentral. Lineage: Eukaryota; Viridiplantae; Streptophyta; Magnoliopsida; Fabales; Fabaceae.
UAUCGAAUUUUGAGGAACAUAAGCGAAUUUGGUUUAUGCUGCUGGAAUGAGAGACUUAGAAUCCGCCGAAUGGUUUGAGAAGUUAAAUUGUAGAUGGUGCUUGGAUGACCAAUGUUAAGAACGUAUUUUGACAUGCCAAGUUACAGUGCACUUGAAGUCAAAGGUGUUUGAGAGAACAAGCAUGAUGAGCUAACCCACAUCAGCUGCACAUUUCUUUUCCCUGUAGACAUGAUGGAUGUUAUAUGUUUAAUAUAUUGUAAUAGUUUGAUUGACAUCACUACUAGAAAUGAG